Molecule: ribosomal RNA, 770 nt
Filed under: uncultured bacterium
Lineage: Bacteria
Description: bacterial SSU rRNA
Rfam family: Bacterial small subunit ribosomal RNA
Source: RNAcentral
UGCAGUCGAGCGGUAGAGAGGUGCUUGCACCCCUUGAGAGCGGCGGACGGGUGAGUAAAGCCUAGGAAUCUGCCUGGUAGUGGGGGAUAACGCUCGGAAACGGACGCUAAUACCGCAUACGUCCUACGGGAGAAAGCAGGGGACCUUCGGGCCUUGCGCUAUCAGAUGAGCCUAGGUCGGAUUAGCUAGUUGGUGAGGUAAUGGCUCACCAAGGCGACGAUCCGUAACUGGUCUGAGAGGAUGAUCAGUCACACUGGAACUGAGACACGGUCCAGACUCCUACGGGAGGCAGCAGUGGGGAAUAUUGGACAAUGGGCGAAAGCCUGAUCCAGCCAUGCCGCGUGUGUGAAGAAGGUCUUCGGAUUGUAAAGCACUUUAAGUUGGGAGGAAGGGCAUUAACCUAAUACGUUAGUGUUUUGACGUUACCGACAGAAUAAGCACCGGCUAACUCUGUGCCAGCAGCCGCGGUAAUACAGAGGGUGCAAGCGUUAAUCGGAAUUACUGGGCGUAAAGCGCGCGUAGGUGGUUCGUUAAGUUGGAUGUGAAAUCCCCGGGCUCAACCUGGGAACUGCAUUCAAAACUGUCGAGCUAGAGUAUGGUAGAGGGUGGUGGAAUUUCCUGUGUAGCGGUGAAAUGCGUAGAUAUAGGAAGGAACACCGGUGGCGAAAGCGACCACCUGGACUGAUACUGACACUGAGGUGCGAAAGCGUGGGGAGCAAACGGGAUUAGAUACCCUGGUAGUCCACGCCGUAAACGAUGUCAACUAGCCG